RNAcentral lists this ribosomal RNA (303 nucleotides) under uncultured bacterium. RNAcentral describes it as "partial 16S ribosomal RNA". It matches the Rfam family "Bacterial small subunit ribosomal RNA", at positions 507 to 808 of the family's 1533-position model. The record is from RNAcentral.
AGCAGUAGCCACGGUAAUACGUAGGUCCCGAGCGUCGUCCGGAUUUAUUGGGCGUAAAGGGAGCGCAGGCGGUUUAGUAAGUCUGGAGUUAAAGGCAUUGGCUCAACCAAUGUAUGCUUUGGAAACUGUUUGACUUGAGUGCAGAAGGGGAGAGUGGAAUUCCAUGUGUAGCGGAGAAAUGCGUAGAUAUAUGGAGGAACACCGGUGGCGAAAGCGGCUCUCUGGUCUGUCACUGACGCUGAGGCUCGAAAGCGUGGGUAGCGAACAGGAUUAGAUACCCCAGUAGUCCCUGUCUCUUAUACA